RNAcentral lists this ribosomal RNA (498 nucleotides) under uncultured bacterium. Its description in RNAcentral is "partial 16S ribosomal RNA". It matches the Rfam family "Bacterial small subunit ribosomal RNA", at positions 30 to 523 of the family's 1533-position model. The record is from RNAcentral.
AUUGAACGCUGGCGGCAUGCCUUACACAUGCAAGUCGAUCGGUAACAGGUCUUCGGAUGCUGACGAGUGGCGAACGGGUGAGUAAUACAUCGGAACGUGCCUAGUAGUGGGGGAUAACUACUCGAAAGAGUGGCUAAUACCGCAUGAGAUCUACGGAUGAAAGCAGGGGAUCGCAAGACCUUGUGCUACUAGAGCGGCCGAUGGCAGAUUAGGGAGUUGGUGGGAUAAAAGCUUACCAAGCCGAAGGUCUGUAGCUGGUCUGAGAGGACGAUCAGCCACACUGGGACUGAGACACGGCCCAGACUCCUACGGGAGGCAGCAGUGGGGAAUUUUGGACAAUGGGCGAAAGUCUGAUCCAGCAAUGCCGCGUGCAGGAUGAAGGCCUUCGGGUUGUAAACUGCUUUUGUACGGAACGAAAAGCCCUGGGUUAAUACCCUGGGGUCAUGACGGUACCGUAAGAAUAAGCACCGGCUAACUACGUGCCAGCCGCCGCGGUAA